RNAcentral lists this small nuclear RNA (155 nucleotides) under Crocodylus porosus (Australian saltwater crocodile). Its description in RNAcentral is "U1 spliceosomal RNA (ENSCPRG00005006348.1)". It matches the Rfam family "U1 spliceosomal RNA". Rfam says of the family: U1 is a small nuclear RNA (snRNA) component of the spliceosome (involved in pre-mRNA splicing). Its 5' end forms complementary base pairs with the 5' splice junction, thus defining the 5' donor site of an intron. Lineage: Eukaryota; Metazoa; Chordata; Crocodylia; Crocodylidae. The record is from RNAcentral.
UGACUAAUGUCAUGUAGUUUCCAUAAUCAAGGUUUCCCAGGGUGAGGCCUAUCCCUUGCACUCUGGGCAGGCUGACCCCUGUGAGUUUCCCAAACGUGAGAAAUUUGACUAUCCAAUGUUGUGGUAAUGGGGGACUGUGUUUGUACAUUCUCCCU